RNAcentral lists this ribosomal RNA (935 nucleotides) under Ceratinopsis setoensis. RNAcentral's name for it is "SSU rRNA". It matches the Rfam family "Eukaryotic small subunit ribosomal RNA", at positions 14 to 949 of the family's 1831-position model. The record is from RNAcentral. Lineage: Eukaryota; Metazoa; Arthropoda; Arachnida; Araneae; Linyphiidae.
CCGCAGUAGUCAUAUGCUUGUCUCAAAGAUUAAGCCAUGCAUGUCUAAGUACAGGCCGUAUUAUGGCGAAACCGCGAAUGGCUCAUUAAAUCAGUUAUGGUUCCUUGGAUCGUACUUUGUUACUUGGAUAACUGUGGCAAUUCUAGAGCUAAUACAUGCAGCAGAGCUCCGACCUUCGGGAACGAGCGCUUUUAUUAGACCAAAAUCAAUCGGGCCUUGUGUCCGUUGAACGUGGUGACUCUGUAUAACUUUUGGCUGAUCGCACGGGCUCGUCCCGGCGACGUAUCCUUCAAGUGUCUGCCUUAUCAACUGUCGAUGGUAGGUUAUGCGCCUACCAUGGUCGUAACGGGUGACGGGGAAUCAGGGUUCGAUUCCGGAGAGGGAGCCUGAGAAACGGCUACCACAUCCAAGGAAGGCAGCAGGCGCGCAAAUUACCCAAUCCCGGAACGGGGAGGUAGUGACGAAAAAUAACAAUACGGGACUCUUUUGAGACCCCGUAAUUGGAAUGAGUACACUCUAAAUCCUUUAACGAUUAUCAAUUGGAGGGCAAGCCAAGUGCCAGCAGCCGCGGUAACACUUGCUCCAAUAGCGUAUAUUAAAGUUGUUGCGGUUAAAAAGCUCGUAGUUGGAUCUCAGUUCUAGUCGGGCGGUCCGCCUUACGGCGGUAACUGCCCGUUCUGAACAGGCAAGCCGGUUUCCCUUGAUGAUCUUCACCGGUUGUCUCGGUUGACCGGCAAGUUUACUUUGAAUAAAUUAGAGUGCUCAAAGCAGGCGUGACGCCUGAACAAUGGUGCAUGGAAUAAUGGAAUAGGACCUCGGUUCUAUUUUGUUGGUUUUCGGAACACGAGGUAAUGAUUAAGAGGGACAGACGGGGGCAUUCGUACUGCGACGUUAGAGGUGAAAUUCUUGGACCGUCGCAUGACGAACUAUGAGAA